This 496-nucleotide ribosomal RNA is filed under the name uncultured bacterium. RNAcentral describes it as "partial 16S ribosomal RNA". It matches the Rfam family "Bacterial small subunit ribosomal RNA", at positions 29 to 507 of the family's 1533-position model. The record is from RNAcentral.
AACGAACGCUGGCGGCGCGUCUUAAGCAUGCAAGUCGAACGGCAAGAGAGGAGCUUGCUUCUCUCCUAGAGUGGCGGACUGGUGAGGAACACGUGGGUAAUCUACCCUUAAGAUGGGGAUAGCUGCUAGAAAUAGCAGGUAAUACCGAAUACACUCGGCAUAUCACAAGAGGUGUUGAGGAAAGGAAGCUACGGCUUCGCUUGAGGAUGAGCUUGCGUCCCAUUAGCUAGUUGGUGAGGUAAAGGCCCACCAAGGCGACGAUGGGUAUCCGGCCUGAGGGGGUGAACGGACACAUUGGGACUGAGAUACGGCCCAAACUCCUACGGGAGGCAGCAGCUAAGAAUAUUCCGCAAUGGACGGAAGUCUGACGGAGCGACGCCGCGUGGAUGAAGAAGGCUGAAAAGUUGUAAAAUCCUUUUGUUGAUGAAGAAUAAGGGUGAGAGGGAAUGCUCAUCUGAUGACGGUAAUCGACGAAUAAGCCCCGGCUAAUUACGUG